Molecule: regulatory RNA element, 121 nt
Organism: Vibrio genomosp. F6 str. FF-238
Lineage: Bacteria; Pseudomonadati; Pseudomonadota; Gammaproteobacteria; Vibrionales; Vibrionaceae
Rfam family: Ribosomal S15 leader
About the family: The E. coli Ribosomal S15 gene 5' UTR can form two alternative structures. One that is a series of three hairpins, The other includes a pseudoknot.
Source: Rfam
CGUAGCAGCUGAAUCAGAGAUUGGCUGUUACAAAUUAUAAACUUACUCUUAUCAGGAGAGAAUUAUGUCUCUGAAUGCAGAAACUAAAGCAGCAAUCGUUGCAGAAUACGCACAAUGUGAA